AGCUGGAUGCCUUCUUUGACCUGACGGGCUCGCGGGUGCCACUGGGCAGCGGGCGGUCGAGCCCCUUUGUUAACACAGGCUCCUAUGCGGAUGCUCUGCAGAACCAGGGCAUCUUCGGGACCAUGGGGAAAAUCAACGCAGAGGAAAUCCAGCGCACGGUGCAGAAGAUCAUGGAGCAGUACACGUCCACCCUGAAGAACCCCAGCGGCUAACGGCGCCCAGGGGCUUGAGGACACGGCCAGGAGUUGCUGCCCACUGCACGGAUGGCAAACCCCAACCGGGAGCGAGCAGCUGGCACCGUAACCACCGUCCUCCCCCACCCCAGGGGGGCCACCAGCAUGGCCGGGGGCCAAGGCCACCCUCCCUGUCCCCUUCCACGAGCCCCCACACUUGUCACCCCCAUGCGCAUGUACCUGCAUGCUUGGCGACAGGGCUGUAAAUACAGGCGGCCCUGAGCACCGGCACAGCUCGUCACACGUGUGAGCGGG
RNAcentral lists this long non-coding RNA (488 nucleotides) under Columba livia (rock pigeon). RNAcentral's name for it is "partial uncharacterized LOC106145758". The record is from RNAcentral. Lineage: Eukaryota; Metazoa; Chordata; Aves; Columbiformes; Columbidae.